GAAGAAAAUUGUAGACACCGUUUCUUGUGUGGACGUCGGGUCUUCGUUCCAUCCGAGGAUGUCGUUUCUUGUGUAGACUCCUAUUGGGGAGGGCGGCGUGGAGUCCUCUGGAUCCCGUACGCUGGCCGCCGCUCCCCUUCCGCUCGCGCACCCCACGCUUCUAUCCCGCGCGGCGCGUGAGCCGCGCGCCCCUCUCCCGCGCAGCCCGCGCUCCUCUCCCGCGCUCGCUCACGAGCAAAGGCGCCGUCGCUCCAAAAAUUUCGAGGCAGCGUGCCUCUUUCCAACCCCGACCCCUCCAAUCCCUCCCGGUAAAUCUCCAUCCCUCUGCUGCCCAUCUCCCAUCGAGUUCAUUCAUACAUCACUUUGGUUCCAUGUCCUUCCCCAUCCACUACCAAAAAGAUCCCUGAAUCAAAAUGAAUCGAUUGCCCAGGACUGAUGCACGGCGAGGCAAAGUCGCCCCUAGACCCCAUCCUCGAUCCGUCCGUACUGGUGGGAUCUGUGGUUCGGUCGCCGGAGGUGAUGGAUCCCAUGCUCAACCUAAAGCCACAGGUGUUCCUCAAGCUGAUGGUGUUCAUCGAAUUGGUGCUUCUCCCGUUGCUGGAUGGUGGCCAACUUCAUCUCCGAGCAAAAGGUUAUACCCACCUGGAGGGUUCUCCAACUUUCUUCAAGGAAACCCAUUUGCUAACCAUCCUAAUGCAAAUGAAGAUUUCAUUUUGUUGGGGCCGGAAUGAGUCAAUCUUCAGUUUCACCAAUUGACAUGGGUGUUACAAGGACUCCCUCUCCAGCAGAACAAACUAAUGAUAUGGUGGAAGACUUAGAUGCAGAAGAAGAUGAUAUCGUUAAGAAGUCUAGAACCGACAAGCGUCUAAAUUGGUCGGUAUCUGAAGACAUACGAUUGACCAGUGCUUGGUUGCAUAAUUCAAAGGACCCAAUUGAUGGAAAUGGUAGGAAGGCAGAUUUUUAUUGGGCAGAUGUUACUGAAGAAUACAACAAGACAACAGAAACAAAUGUGAUGUUUCUCUUCUAAUUGCUUAUGGUGAAUGAGAUUGCUUCCGGGUGAAUGUGAUGUUUAUCUUGCCGGCUGAAUGGUGAUUUUUUUUGGUUCAGUUGCUAGCUGAAUGGUUCUAUGCGUUCUGUUUAAGUUAUGUUGUUGGUGAUAAAAUUGAGAGGUGUAUAUUGGGUCACAUUGUUAUGCCACAGCUGAUCCAUUUUUGUUUAUGCUAGUAAUAAAUGUCUUUAGCUAUAGAAACUACUAUUACAAACUGUGCAUUGGGGAUUAUAGAGUCUUGUGAUAAAGUCUUCGACGUUUAAACUCUAUGGGUAGAGUAAUGGCCGGGAACCCAUCCAAGAAGAU
Oryza brachyantha (malo sina) is the source of this 1354-nucleotide long non-coding RNA. RefSeq lists it as uncharacterized. The transcript is spliced from 3 exons. The record is from RefSeq and is a predicted model, not a curated record. NCBI's taxonomy places the organism in Eukaryota, Viridiplantae, Streptophyta, Magnoliopsida, Poales, Poaceae.